GACGAACGCUGGCGGCGUGCUUAACACAUGCAAGUCGAACGGAAAGGCCCUGCUUUUGUGGGGUGCUCGAGUGGCGAACGGGUGAGUAACACGUGAGUAACCUGCCCUUGACUUUGGGAUAACUUCAGGAAACUGGGGCUAAUACCGGAUAGGAGCUCCUGCUGCAUGGUGGGGGUUGGAAAGUUUCGGCGGUUGGGGAUGGACUCGCGGCUUGUCAGCUUGUUGGUGGGGUAGUGGCUUACCAAGGCUUUGACGGGUAGCCGGCCUGAGAGGGUGACCGGCCACAUUGGGACUGAGAUACGGACCAGACUCCUACGGGAGGCAGCAGUGGGGAAUAUUGCACAAUGGGCGGAAGCCUGAUGCAGCAACGCCGCGUGCGGGAUGACGGCCUUCGGGUUGUAAACCGCUUUCGCCUGUGACGAAGCGUGAGUGACGGUAAUGGGUAAAGAAGCACCGGCUAACUACGUG
This 468-nucleotide ribosomal RNA is filed under the name uncultured bacterium. RNAcentral's name for it is "partial 16S ribosomal RNA". It matches the Rfam family "Bacterial small subunit ribosomal RNA", at positions 28 to 507 of the family's 1533-position model. The record is from RNAcentral.